GGACAGAAAGACCCUAUGAAGCUUUACUGUAGCUUGAAAUUGUUUUCACGUCUUGUACGCGCAGAAUAGGUGGGAGACUAAGAAAGAAUCUCUUCGGGGGUUCUGGAGUCACACGUGAGAUACCACUCUUGCAAGACUAGAAUUCUAACCUCAGACCGUUAUCCGGCUGAGGGACCAUUUUAGGUGGGCAGUUUGACUGGGGCGGUCGCCUCCCAAAAGGUAACGGAGGCGUGCAAAGGUUUCCUCAGGUUGGUUGGACAUCAACCUUCGAGCGCAAAGGUAUAAGGAAGCUUGAUUGCGAGACCUACAAGUCGAGCAAAGACGAAAGUCGGCCUUAGUGAUCCGACACUACCGAGUGGAAGGAGUGUCGCUCAACGGAUAAAAGUUACUCUAGGG
RNAcentral lists this ribosomal RNA (396 nucleotides) under uncultured eukaryote. Its description in RNAcentral is "partial Bacterial large subunit ribosomal RNA". It matches the Rfam family "Bacterial large subunit ribosomal RNA", at positions 2078 to 2473 of the family's 2925-position model. The record is from RNAcentral.